CACGUAGGGGGCAAGCGUUGUCCGGAAUCAUUGGGCGUAAAGAGCUCGUAGGCGGCUCAAUAAGUCGGGUGUGAAACCCCCAGGCUCAACCUGGGGACGCCACCCGAUACUGUUGUGGCUAGAGUCCAGUAGGGGAGUGUGGAAUUCCCGGUGUAGCGGUGAAAUGCGCAGAUAUCGGGAGGAACACCAGCGGCGAAGGCGGCACUCUGGGCUGGUACUGACGCUCAUGCACGAAAGCGUGGGGAGCAAACAGG
Molecule: ribosomal RNA, 254 nt
Filed under: uncultured bacterium
Lineage: Bacteria
Description: partial 16S ribosomal RNA
Rfam family: Bacterial small subunit ribosomal RNA
Source: RNAcentral